AACGAACGCUGGCGGCAGGCUUAACACAUGCAAGUCGAACGCCCCGCAAGGGGAGUGGCAGACGGGUGAGUAACGCGUGGGAACAUACCCUUAUCUUCGGAACAACUCCGGGAAACUGGAGCUAAUACCGAAUGUGCCCUUCGGGGGAAAGAUUUAUCGGAUAAGGAUUGGCCCGCGUUGGAUUAGCUAGUUGGUGGGGUAAAGGCCUACCAAGGCGACGAUCCAUAGCUGGUCUGAGAGGAUGAUCAGCCACAUUGGGACUGAGACACGGCUCAAACUCCUACGGGAGGCAGCAGUGGGGAAUAUUGGACAAUGGGCGCAAGCCUGAUCCAGCCAUGCCGCGUGAGUGAUGAAGGCCUUAGGGUUGUAAAGCUCUUUCACCGGAGAAGAUAAUGACGGUAUCCGGAGAAGAAGCCCCGGCUAACUUCGUGCCAGCCGCCGCUGUAA
Molecule: ribosomal RNA, 447 nt
Filed under: uncultured bacterium
Lineage: Bacteria
Description: partial 16S ribosomal RNA
Rfam family: Bacterial small subunit ribosomal RNA
Source: RNAcentral